Molecule: ribosomal RNA, 111 nt
Filed under: Mus caroli (Ryukyu mouse)
Lineage: Eukaryota; Metazoa; Chordata; Mammalia; Rodentia; Muridae
Description: rRNA (MGP_CAROLIEiJ_G0034224.1)
Source: RNAcentral
AUCUGCUGCUACACCACCCUGAACAUGCUUGAUCUUGUCUGAACUAGAAGCUAAGCAAGGUGAGGUCUACGUAGCACUUAGAUAGGAGACGAUGGUUUUAUUGUGUAGUUU